This 200-nucleotide ribosomal RNA is filed under the name uncultured bacterium. RNAcentral describes it as "partial 16S ribosomal RNA". It matches the Rfam family "Bacterial small subunit ribosomal RNA", at positions 8 to 202 of the family's 1533-position model. The record is from RNAcentral.
AGAGUUUGAUCAUGGCUCAGGAUGAACGCUAGCGGCAGGCUUAAUACAUGCAAGUCGUGGGGCAGCACAGGUAGCAAUACUGGGUGGCGACCGGCAAACGGGUGCGGAACACGUACGCAACCUUCCUUUAAGCGGGGGAUAGCCCAGGGAAACUUGGAUUAAUACCCCAUAAUAUUAUCUGGUGGCAUCAUUAGAUUAUU